This 458-nucleotide ribosomal RNA is filed under the name uncultured bacterium. Its description in RNAcentral is "bacterial SSU rRNA". It matches the Rfam family "Bacterial small subunit ribosomal RNA", at positions 33 to 507 of the family's 1533-position model. The record is from RNAcentral.
GACACGCUGGCGGCGUGCCUAAUACAUGCAAGUCGAACGGAAGCAGUAGCAAUAUUGCUUUAGUGGCGAACGGGUGAGUAACGCGUUGGUGAUCUGCCCCGAAGUGAGGAAUAACAAUUCGAAAGAAUUGCUAAUACCACAUGUGAUCUUUGAGAUUAGAACCUCUUUGAUCAAAGGAUUUAUUCGCUUCGGGAGGAGCCUGCGUCCCAUCAGCUAGUUGGUAGGGUAAUGGCCUACCAAGGCGAUGACGGGUAGGGGACCUGAGAGGGUGGCCCCCCACAAUGGAACUGAAACACGGUCCAUACACCUACGGGUGGCAGCAGUAGGGAAUAUUAGUAAUGGGCGAAAGCCUGAACUAGCAACACCGCGUGUGCGAAGAAGGCCUUCGGGUCGUAAAGCACUUUUCGGGAGGAUGAGGAAGGACGGUACUCCCGGAAUAAGUCUCGGCUAACUACGUG